CUGCAGCUUAUUAAGCCAACUGUCCCCGGCUCCCCGUGGGGGCCCAGUGUGCAGUGGCUACGGACAGCAGCCUCCUCAGUAGUGUAUGCAACUUGUUGCUUGUAUGGGUCGCCUUAGGGGACCUUAGAGACAGCC
Small nucleolar RNA from Choloepus didactylus (southern two-toed sloth), 135 nucleotides. RefSeq annotates it as small nucleolar RNA SNORA70. Lineage: Eukaryota; Metazoa; Chordata; Mammalia; Pilosa; Megalonychidae. The transcript has a single exon. The record is from RefSeq and is a predicted model, not a curated record.